GGGUGAGUAACACGUGGGAAACCUACCUCUUAGCAGGGGAUAACAUUUGGAAACAGAUGCUAAUACCGUAUAACAAUAGCAACCGCAUGGUUGCUACUUAAAAGAUGGUUCUGCUAUCACUAAGAGAUGGUCCCGCGGUGCAUUAGUUAGUUGGUGAGGUAAUGGCUCACCAAGACGAUGAUGCAUAGCCGAGUUGAGAGACUGAUCGGCCACAAUGGGACUGAGACACGGCCCAUACUCCUACGGGAGGCAGCAGUAGGGAAUCUUCCACAAUGGGCGAAAGCCUGAUGGAGCAACGCCGCGUGUGUGAUGAAGGGUUUCGGCUCGUAAAACACUGUUGUAAGAGAAGAAUGACAUUGAGAGUAACUGUUCAAUGUGUGACGGUAUCUUACCAGAAAGGAACGGCUAAAUACGUGCCAGCAGCCGCGGUAAUACGUAUGUUCCAAGCGUUAUCCGGAUUUAUUGGGCGUAAAGCGAGCGCAGACGGUUAUUUAAGUCUGAAGUGAAAGCCCUCAGCUCAACUGAGGAAUUGCUUUGGAAACUGGAUGACUUGAGUGCAGUAGAGGAAAGUGGAACUCCAUGUGUAGCGGUGAAAUGCGUAGAUAUAUGGAAGAACACCAGUGGCGAAGGCGGCUUUCUGGACUGUAACUGACGUUGAGGCUCGAAAGUGUGGGUAGCAAACAGGAUUAGAUACCCUGGUAGUCCACACCGUAAACGAUGAGUGCUAGGUGUUUGAAGGGUUUCCGCCCUUAAGUGCCGCAGCUAACGCAUUAAGCACUCCGCCUGGGGGAGUACGACCGCAAGGUUGAAACUCAAAGGAAUUGACGGGGACCCGCACAAGCGGUGGAGCAUGUGGUUUAAUUCGAAGCAACGCGAAGAACCUUACCAGGUCUUGACAUCCCUUGACACCUCCAGAAGAUGGAGCGUUCCCUUCGGGGACAAGGUGACAGGUGGGUGCAUGGUUGUCGUCAGCUCGUGUCCUGAAAAGUUGGGGUUAAAUCCCCCAACAAGCGCAACCCUUAUUACUAAUUGCCACCAUUUAUUUGGGGACUCUAUUGGAACUGCCGGUGAAAAACCGAGGAGAGGGGGGGGGAGGAAAUCAAAUAAUAAUGGCCCCUUAUAACUGGGGGUACACCGUGCUUCAAUGGGG
RNAcentral lists this ribosomal RNA (1150 nucleotides) under Weissella cibaria. RNAcentral describes it as "bacterial SSU rRNA". It matches the Rfam family "Bacterial small subunit ribosomal RNA", at positions 104 to 1235 of the family's 1533-position model. Lineage: Bacteria; Bacillati; Bacillota; Bacilli; Lactobacillales; Lactobacillaceae. The record is from RNAcentral.